Molecule: unclassified non-coding RNA, 221 nt
Filed under: plant metagenome
Description: partial contains small subunit ribosomal RNA, internal transcribed spacer 1, and 5.8S ribosomal RNA
Rfam family: Eukaryotic small subunit ribosomal RNA (bases 1-53)
Source: RNAcentral
GGAAGUAAAAUCGUAACAAGGUUUCCGUAGGUGAACCUGCGGAAGGAUCAUUGAGUGUUAUCCACCCCAACCCCGGUGUCUUUGCCACUUGUCUGCGCGGCCCUUCGGGGCCCGUGGAAUAACCUUACACACCAAACCAACACCUAGAGCUAAUGCCGCACUGGCUUUGCCGGUUGCAGUAUAACAAAAGACAACUCUCAGCAACGGAUAUCUUGGCUCUC